UUUUGAUUUGUUUAACACUUUUUUUGUUUACUACAUAAUUCCAUUUGUGUUAUUUUAUAGUUUUAGAAAAUAAUCAAAAUAAAGAAAAACCCUGGAAUGAGUAGGUGUGUCCAAACUUUUGACUGGUACUGUAUACAGUCCCAGUAGCCUACAUCAGACAACCAAUAAGAGUUGUGUCCAUGGCUUUCAGCGAAUAGAGGAGUUCAUAGGCUUUCCCAGAGGGGCCGUGCUAUUUGGGAUCUUUGGGAUAUCCCUACGUCAACCAUUUUAAUUUCUACUUCAUUAAGUUUAGGUUAGGUAAGAGUUCUAGUGUAGGGUUCAGGGUAGGGACGUCCCAAGGAGAGACGGGCACGGUAUUUGAGAGCUCAGCGGCGUAUGUUGGAAAUUACAAGAUUAUGUUAUAAUACUUUUAUUGCAUCAAAUGGUUGUUUUAUGCAACAGAAUAGAGGGUUCUUAUAACUCUAUUGUGUCUGUGUGAACUGAAAGUGGGCCUCUGGGAGAUAACACUGACAGGAGAUUUAUGAUGUCUUUUGGGUGAUAAAACCUAAAGAGACCGCAUUCCAGAGCAUGAGUUAAUGUUUCUGUUCUAUAAGGUACCAGGGAGAGAUGACCCCAGGGUCAGACCCUGGUCUGUACACAAAGAGUACUGUUUUUACAGCAGAUACUGUCUGCUGUGAAUUAUAAGUAUCUUUCAUACAAAUCUUAACCUUGUGACCCAUUCCAUACAUCUGUUGUUCGUCAUGUAGACUGAAAGGGGUGUAUCUUGGCUAUAAAAGACCUUUGUACUUUUGUCUCGGGGCUCUCAUGUCACGUCCUGACCAGUAAAACGGGUUAUUUGUUAUUGUAGUUUGGUCAGGGCGUGGCAGGGGGUGUUUUGGGGUUUUAUUCUAUGUCCUUUUUUCUAUGUUUUGUAUUUCUUUGUUUUGGCCUGGUAUGGCUCUCAAUCAGGGACAGCUGUACUUCGUUGUCGCUGAUUGGGAGCCAUACUUAGGUAGCCUGUUUUCCUUUGGGUUUUGUGGGUGGUUAAUUUCUGUUUAGUAUUGUUACCUGACAGAACUGUUUUGGCUGUCAUUCGUUUCUUGUUUUGUUUAAAGUGUUCCAUUAAAAUAUUAUGAUGAGCACUAACCACGCUGCGCCUUGGUCUACUCCAAUCAACAGCCGUUACAUCUCAACAAAUCAUCUGAGGGUGAUUCGUCAACCAACCAUCAUUAUCGUAGAGCACUCAAUUGAUUCACUUUAUAUGUGUGUGCUGUAUUGACCUGCUCCCUUAUUAAUAAGUGGGCCACUAUGCACGGAACGGGUUCUACAUGGAACCAAAAAGGGUUCUCCUAUGGGGAGCAUGAAGAAUCCUUUUAGGUUGUAUCUCAACAAUGUUCUAAAUCCUAUUUGUUUUAUUUUCUAUGAACAAAGGCUCAGCUUAGUUCAGGUGGUUAUAGUAAAUGUUGGAUGUCUUGAUAAAAUGUGUUAGUGUUAAUAUUUGUAUGAAAAUAGCAUUUAACAGUUCGCUAGCUUGAUGCUUUGCAAAGUUAGAUCUCUUUUCACACAACAGCAGCAUCCAGGCCUCCAGAGUACUCACCCUAUCACCUUCUGUAGGGACGGGAGCCGCAGCUGUUUACUGAGGUAAACAAUGCAAUUGUAUAUACAAUUAUUGCAUAUACUGUAGUAUUAAACAUUUGUGAUUGACUUAGUGUUGUCUAUUGCUAUUUUUGUAUAAUGUACUUUGAGAUCACUGAAACGCCUCCUGAUGUCGUGGAAGUUGUCGAACCAGAUCAGAACGCUUUCGAGGACCACCUUCAGGCAUGGGCUGAGAAGGAUUUGGAGGAAUUUGACCAGGAAAAAUGAUUGUCCGCUGUUAAUUUAUUUUCAGGCCCUCCAAGAGAUAUGUAACAGAUGUAUUUGUAAUAAGAUGAAAUAUAAUUGUAUUUAUUUCUAUUGUCAAUGAAGGUGAGCCUGAACAUGGACAAGGUUCAGGAGAAACAUAAGGAAAACCACCAGAGGAGAAUCAAGAAGGGGACCAAGUGCUUCGACAUCCGGUCAAAUUACUUGGCUUGGAAGAAGGAUGAAAGGAAGUCGAGACCUUGCUGCUCUUUCGCUCCUAGCUGGGGCCACGAUCCGUUCAGGGACCAUCCCUCACCUCCCUCAUCAACCCCACUGACAUAAAAAAAAUACAGACAGGACCUAGGGGUACUGCCUAACACCCAGAUGUGGAUCUACCUGAUGUCCUCCAUUACCAACCACCCUCCAACUUUUCAUUACAUCAUCUACAGCUACUGUUACUGUCAUGUUGUCAUUAUCUGCUAAGAAAGAGCAAGAAAACUAUCAUACUGGGAACAUAAUGUGAGAUACAAUGAUUAUCUAAAAACACUAGCACUCAGAACAAAGAGAGCAGCAGUGCAUGGACUUCAGUCUCCCUCUUCCAGUCCCCCUUCCGAGACUGACUGUUUGUUGAGAACAGUGACAGACAGAACCUCCCAACCACAUAGCACCCACCUCCUCUCUAUUCCACACACCAGAAUUCAGUAUUUCAGUCUAUGAUUGCCAUGUGAGGACAAAAAAAGCUAAGUUUUAAAUAUAUAAUCGUAAAUAUUGCCAGGUUGGUUUUCAUAGCUUGUUCAUUGUUGAAAAUAUUAAUGUAUCCCUUGAUGAUAUUUGUUAGGUCAACAUUAUUCAUUGUUGUAUCAUAGGACCUAUAAUAGAUAAACAUUCAACCACAAUGAGCUAUAUAAACUCAGCAAAAAAAUAAACGUCCUCUCACUCUCAACUGCGUUUAUUUUCAGCAAACUUAACGUGUAAAUAUUUGUAUGAACAUAACAAGAUUCAACAACUGAGACAUAAACUGAACAAGUUCCACAGACAUGUGACUAAUAGAACUGGAACAAUGUGUCCCUGAACAAAGGGGGGUUCAAAAUCAAAAGUAACAGUCAGUAUCUGGUCUGGCCACCAGCUGCAUUAAGUACUGCAGUGCAUCUCCUCCUCGUGGACUGCACCAGAUUUGCCAGUUCUUGCUGUGAGAUGUUACCCCACUCUUCCACCAAGGCACCUGCAAGUUCCCUGACAUUUCUGGAGGGAAUGGCCCUAGCCCCCACCCUCUGAUCAUACAGGUCCCAGACGUGCUCAAUGGGAUUGAGAUCCGGGCUCAUCGCUGGCCAUGGUAGAACACUGACAUUCCUGUCUUGCAGGAAAUCACACACAGAACGAGCAGUAUGGCUAGUGUCAUUGUCAUGCUGGAGGGUCAUGUCAGGAUGAGCCUGCAGGAAGGAUACCACAUGAGGGAGGAGAAUGUCUUCCUUGUAACGCACAGCGUUGAGAAUUCCUGCAAUGACAACAAGCUCAGUCUGAUGAUGCUGUGACACACCACCCCAGACCAUGAUGGACCCUCCACAUCGAUCCCGCUCCAGAGUACAGGCCUCGGUGUAAAGCUCAUUCCUUCAACGUGAACGCAAUUCCGACCAUCACGCCUGGUGAGACAAAACUGCAACUCGUCAGUGAAGAGCACUUUUAGCCAGUCCUGUCUGGUCCAGCGACGGUGGGUUUGUGCCCAUAGGCAACGUUGUUGCCGGGGAUGUCUGGUGAGCCCUCAGUCCAGCCUCUCUCAGCCUAUUGCGGACAGUCUGAGCACUGAUGGAGGGAUUGUGCAUUCCUGGUGUAACUCGGGCAGUUGUUGUUGCCAUCCUGUACCUGUCCCGCAGGUGUGAUGUUCUGAUGUACCGAUCCUGUGCAGGUGUUGUUACACGUGGUCUGCCACUGCGAGGACAAUCAGCUGUCCGCCCUGUCUCCCUGUAGUGCUGUCUUAGGCGACUCACAGUACGGACAUUGUGUAAAUCAGCUAGAAAGAUGUGUCGGCAUCAAGUAAUUGUCUCUGGCCCCCUCCCAGUUAGGGGGAGUGAUGAGCUCUACAGCAGAGUCUCAAAACUCAAUCACUGGUUGAAAACUGUUUUCUGCCCCUACCAAAAGAUAGAAUUUGUAGAUAAUUGGUCCUCUUUCUGGGACUCACCCACAAACAGGACCAAGCCUGGCCUGUUGAUGAGUGACUGACUCCAUCCUAGCUGGAGGGGUGCUCUCAUCUUAUCUAAGAACAUAGACAGGGCUCUAACUUCCCUAGCUCCACAAUGAGAUAGGGUGCAGGCCAGGCAGCAGGCUGUUAGCCAGCCUGCCAGCCUGCCAGCUUAGUGGAGCCUGCCACUAGCACAGUCAGUGUAGUCAGUUCAGCAAUCCCCAUUGAGACCGUGUCUGUGCCUCGAUCUACGAUGGGCAAAACAAAAAAUGGCGGUGGUUGGUUUAGCAAUCUCACCGGUAUAAAGACCUCCUCC
This 4310-nucleotide long non-coding RNA is filed under the name Salmo salar (Atlantic salmon). RNAcentral's name for it is "lncRNA (ENSSSAG00000096714.1)". The record is from RNAcentral. Lineage: Eukaryota; Metazoa; Chordata; Actinopteri; Salmoniformes; Salmonidae.